Long non-coding RNA from Mangifera indica (mango), 565 nucleotides. RefSeq lists it as uncharacterized. Lineage: Eukaryota; Viridiplantae; Streptophyta; Magnoliopsida; Sapindales; Anacardiaceae. The record is from RefSeq and is a predicted model, not a curated record. The transcript is spliced from 2 exons.
CAGUUCUCCUGCUCAGAGAGAUGGUGGAAAGGAUGGAAUCUAAUAAACUUCCAACACUUGAACUCACAAACAAUCACCUGGUUGAUGAAGAUCAUCUACAAUUCUUGGUAUCAAAUCUUCUUCUCUGAUUUCUUCAAGAAGUAAAUAUCAUUUUCUGAUUGAGUUUCUGGUUUAACUGAGGUGGGUUGUCAAUCAAAUGUGGAAAAGGAGAUGAUUCUCUGUCGAUUUAUGUUCCCAGAAAAGGUAAGUUCUUUAGGGAAAUUCUUGGACACUUUCAGCUUUCGACGGAACAUUAAUAUGGUCCAUUACCGUGCACAGGUUUAAACUAAUGCAAAUGUACUGGUGAGUUUCCAAGUUGCAUCCUUGGAGAUAGAUGAGUUGAAGACUUUGGCUGACAGUCUAGGAUAUGUUUAUGCAUUCGAGACAGAAAACAAAGCCUUGAAAUUUUAUAUAAUUAAGUAAUUAUUUCUCAUAUUAUAUAAGCCUCCUUGUCUGCAACCCACUUGGAACAUGAUUAUCAAAAACAAGCAAAGACCAAAUAAAUUAUAGAGAACAUUUAAAUCAA